AUGGACUGUUUUUCUUUAUCGGAGUUCUCAUGUCCUGGCAGAAUCUUUAGUGGUCAAGGGGAAAGUACUAAGGUUGUCAUCAUGGUAUCCAAUAAUUCAGAGGUUUCUAGCUGAUGGAUUUAAAAAACAUAUGGACUUGCAGCUGCUACUGACAAGAGACGACUUCUAUGCUAUAAGAUUUAUGUACUGCCAUGAGCCUCCUACUUGAGGUACUUGAACA
This 220-nucleotide long non-coding RNA is filed under the name Rosa chinensis. RNAcentral describes it as "sRNA RchiOBHm_Chr5g0033841". The record is from RNAcentral. Lineage: Eukaryota; Viridiplantae; Streptophyta; Magnoliopsida; Rosales; Rosaceae.